AUGACUCUGACCUGCAUCCUCCUCUGGACUCUCCUCUGCUGCUGCUUCACAGAGUCCCGAGGUCGGAUCACAGUGACCCAGUCUGGACCAGCCAGAUCUGAUCCGGGAGGCUCCGUCACCAUCACAUGCAAAACCAGCCAGAGUGUUUAUUAUGAUGACACUUAUGAAAAACACCUUUUAUCCUGGUACCAACAGAGAGACAGAGAAUCUCCUAAACCGCUCAUUUAUUGGGCUAACAGAAGACAAUCAGGUAUAUCAGAACGUUUUACAGGCAGUGGAUCAGGCUCUUUCUACAGUCUGACCAUCAGUGGAGUUCAGGCUGAAGAUGCUGCAGUUUAUCACUGCCAGAGUCUUCACGAGAUCAACUAUCAGGAUGUGUUCACACAGUGA
This is a non-coding RNA of Cololabis saira (Pacific saury), 390 nucleotides long. The record is from the annotation of a RefSeq genome assembly. NCBI's taxonomy places the organism in Eukaryota, Metazoa, Chordata, Actinopteri, Beloniformes, Belonidae.